UACAGAGGGUGCAAGCGUUGUUCGGAAUUAUUGGGCGUAAAGGGAGUGUAGGCGGUUAUCUAAGUCUUCUGUGAAAUCUACGGGCUUAGCCUGUAACGUGCAGAGGAAACUGGGUGACUAGAGUGUCGGAGAGGAUAGGGGAAUACCCAGUGUAGAGGUGAAAUUCGUAGAGAUUGGGUGGAACACCAGUGGCGAAGGCGCCUGUCUGGCUGACAACUGACGCUGAGACUCGAAAGCAUGGGGAGCAAACAGG
Molecule: ribosomal RNA, 253 nt
Filed under: uncultured bacterium
Lineage: Bacteria
Description: partial 16S ribosomal RNA
Rfam family: Bacterial small subunit ribosomal RNA
Source: RNAcentral